CACACCUUGUCAUGGCACUCAGGAUGAGCUGCUCUGUGACUUUCCCCAAUAGUGAGGUGGAUCCCAUCUGGCCCCAUGGAUUUCUGCAGGUUUUAGUGGCAUAACAGGUCACUGACAGUUCCCUCCUGGAUUAUGUGGAUUCUUUCUGCUUCCUGUCUCUGUCUUCCAGAUUCAGGGAUCUGGGUACCUUAAGGACAACCGGUCUUGUGAUUAAAGACUGAGGGUUGUUGGAUAGCGAUGAUCUUUAAGGUCCCUUUCAAACCUUUCUAUGGUUCUAUUGUCUGCCAGCUUCUUGUUGUGACUUUGCAGCUGCCCACCUGGAAAACCAGUAGAAGGUGAUCAUGAUGGAGGGGGUUGAUUGCCCUGCCCUAGGAAACUCCUCCAACCUGGAUGGACAUUCAUACACACCAGAGUCCCACACCUAUUGUAUAAGGGCAUCUGGCGAGCUUGAGACCUGGACAGCUCCAUGUUCCAUGGGAGCUCCAUCUGGGCCACCCUGUCCUUUUUGGUGCAUGAAGAGGAUGUGUCUUUUGGCUGAGUGGAAACCAAGCUUCUUCAGUGAGAAUGAUGACCUCCAGCUUUAUUUCUGCAGUUGGGCCACAAGCCACACUGGAAAUCUCAGCUGAAGCAGGCAGUGAAUCAAGAAUGGCUGUUCUACAGUUCUCAGCUGGAGUGGGGUAUCCAAGGAACCAGAC
Long non-coding RNA from Passer domesticus (house sparrow), 695 nucleotides. RefSeq lists it as uncharacterized. The transcript is spliced from 6 exons. The record is from RefSeq and is a predicted model, not a curated record. Lineage: Eukaryota; Metazoa; Chordata; Aves; Passeriformes; Passeridae.